CCUACGGGUGGCUGCAGUGGGGAAUAUUGCACAAUGGGGGAAACCCUGAUGCAGCGACGCCGCGUGAGUGAAGAAGUAUCUCGGUACGUAAAGCUCUAUCAGCAGGGAAGAAAAUGACGGUACCUGACUAAGAAGCGCCGGCUAAAGACGUGCCAGCAGCCGCGCUAAUACGUAGGGGGUACGCGUUAUCCGGAUUUACUGGGUGUAAAGGGGGCGUAGACGGCAGCACAAGUCUGGAGUGAAAUCCCGGGGCUGAACCCCGGAACUGCUUUGGAAACAGUGCGGCUGGAGUGCAGGAGGGGUAGGCGGAAUUCCUAGUGUAGCGGGGAAAUGCGUAGAUAUUAGGAGGAACACCGGUGGCGAAGGCGGCUUACUGGACUGUGACUGACGUUGAGGCUCGAAAGCGUGGGGAGCAAACAGGAUUAGAUACCCUUGUAGUC
Molecule: ribosomal RNA, 440 nt
Filed under: uncultured bacterium
Lineage: Bacteria
Description: partial 16S ribosomal RNA
Rfam family: Bacterial small subunit ribosomal RNA
Source: RNAcentral